AGUAAAGCUCCGGCGGUUUUGGAUGAGCCCGCGUCCUAUCAGGUUGUUGGUAAGGUAAUUGCUUACCAAGCCUAUGACGGGUAGCUGGUCUUAGCGGAUGACCAGCCAGACUGGGACUGUGACACGGCCCAGACUCCUACGGGAGGCAGCAACUAGGAAUCAUGCGCAAUGGACGAAAGUCUGACGCUGCGACGUCGCGUGGAGGAUUGACGGUCUUCGGAUUGUAAACUCCUUUUAUAUGGGAACAAGUUCUGAGUGUACCAUAUGAAUAAGUGCCUGCUAACCACGUGCCAGAAGCAUCGGUAAUACGUGGGGCACAAGCGUUAUCCGGGUUUACUGGGCGUAAAGAGAUGCGUAGGCGUCCCGAAAAGUUUUGUGUUAAAUCUCCCCGUUCAACGGGGAAACCGCAUGAAAAACUUUCGGGAUUGAGUCAGGUAGAGAAAGGGGGAAUUCCUGGUGGAGCGGUUAAAUGCGUUGAUAUCAGGAGGAACACGAAUGGCGAAUGCACCCUUUUGGAACUAGACUGACGCUUAGGGUCGAAAGCGUGGGUAGCAAAACGGAUUAGAUACCCGUGUAGUCCACGCCGUAAACGAUCCCUGUUAGAUGUUUGGUAGUUCGCUUAGAUUUUUUUCCGCUUGCGGAAAAGGGUUACGGUGGCUACUGAGUGUCGUAGCUAACGCGUUAAACAGGGCGCCUGGGGAUUACGGCCGCAAGGCUAAUACUCAAAGGAAUUGACGGGGACCCGCACAAGCAGUGGAGCGCCUGGUUUAAUUCGAUGAUCAGCGAAGAACCUCACCUGGGCUUGAACUAUAGCUGCAUCCCGGCAGAAACGCCGGGAGCCUUCGAGGGUGCUAUAGAGGUGCUGCAUGGCUGUCGUCAGCUCGUGUCGUGAGAUGUAGGGUUAAGUCCCACAACGAGCGCAACCCCUAUUCUGUAUUACAAUUAUUCAGAAGACUGCCUCGCCACAACGAGGAGGAAGGAGGGGACGACGUCCAGUCAUCAUAUCCCUUAUGUCCAGGGCUACACAGACGCUACAAUGGCUACUACAACGGGUUGCCAAGCCGCAAGGCGGAGCCAAUCCCAUCAAAAGUAGCCUCAGUUCAGAUUGCAGGCUGCAACUCGCCUGCAUGAAGCCGGAAUUGCUAGUAAUCGCGUCUCAGCACGGCGCGGUGAUACGUUCUCGGGUCUUGUACACACCGCCCAUCAGGGCACGGGAGUUGCUCUUGCUCAAAG
This 1233-nucleotide ribosomal RNA is filed under the name uncultured organism. Its description in RNAcentral is "bacterial SSU rRNA". It matches the Rfam family "Bacterial small subunit ribosomal RNA", at positions 200 to 1426 of the family's 1533-position model. The record is from RNAcentral.